RNAcentral lists this unclassified non-coding RNA (391 nucleotides) under soil metagenome. RNAcentral's name for it is "partial contains 5.8S ribosomal RNA, internal transcribed spacer 2, and large subunit ribosomal RNA". The stretch from base 1 to 122 matches the Rfam family "5.8S ribosomal RNA", at positions 35 to 154 of the family's 154-position model. The record is from RNAcentral.
GAUGAAGAACGUAGCGAAAUGCGAUACUUGGUGUGAAUUGCAGAAUCCCGUGAACCAUCGAGUCUUUGAACGCAAGUUGCGCCCGAAGCCAUUAGGCCGAGGGCACGCCUGCCUGGGCGUCACACGUCGUUGCCCCCCCAUCUACUCCUUCGGGAUUGCGGGGGGCGGAUGAUGGCCUCCCGUGCGCCUCGUCGCGCGGUUGGCAUAAAUGCCAAGUCCUCGGCGACGCACGCCACGACAAUCGGUGGUUGCGAAACCUCGGUUGCCCGUCGGGUGCGGUCGUCGCGCAUCGAGGGCUCGAAAAAAUUGUCGGGCUCCGGCUCGGCUUUCAACGCGACCCCAGGUCAGGCGGGGUUACCCGCUGAAUUUAAGCAUAUCAAUAAGCGGAGGA